RNAcentral lists this ribosomal RNA (101 nucleotides) under uncultured bacterium. RNAcentral describes it as "partial 16S ribosomal RNA". It matches the Rfam family "Bacterial small subunit ribosomal RNA", at positions 1386 to 1482 of the family's 1533-position model. The record is from RNAcentral.
CACACCGCCCGUCACACCACGAAAGCCGGUUGCACCAGAAGUCGGUGUGUCAACCUCGAAAGAGGGGAUAGCCGCCCAAGGUAUGAUUGGUGAUUGGGGUG